UAAUAUAGUGUGAAAGAAAGAAAUGCAAAACGAUAACAGUUCAUAUGGCCUUCAUAUCAGCAGAAACCACUGUCUAUGCGGUACUUCUUAAUGCCCCAUUGGCUUGAUAACGCAGUCAUGAGUACCUGCAAGCAUAAGAAAAUGAAAGUUGAUUAGUAUUCUAAAGAAAAAAAAGCAGUAAAAGAGGAAAACAAAACCAAGAGUUAAGAGAGAGAACAAAGAAUAAAAAUACUUGAAUCAUUGGUGGUGAUGGUGGCUGUGCCAUUGAAAUCACAACCGCGAGUGAAACCCAUAUUGAUAAAAGAGUUGUGAUUUCAAUGGCACAGCCACCAUCACCACCAUAUUACAUGGGUCGUCCGCCUUGGCAGUGCAACUUUCCAUGGGUGUUACCCGGCAGAAACCCAUGGUGGUAAUGGCCGUUGUUGUGCUCUCAGGCUAAAGCCAUUGUUGUGCUCUCAAGCUAAACCAGAACAACAGUACGUGGGACGCACCAACGUCACACAUGUUGUUCUGCUUUAGCUGAG
Molecule: long non-coding RNA, 524 nt
Filed under: Amborella trichopoda
Lineage: Eukaryota; Viridiplantae; Streptophyta; Magnoliopsida; Amborellales; Amborellaceae
Description: long non-coding RNA (ATRI_LNC004851)
Source: RNAcentral